GAACGCUGGCGGCAUGCCUUACACAUGCAAGUCGAACGGCAGCACGGGAGCAAUCCUGGUGGCGAGUGGCGAACGGGUGAGUAAUAUAUCGGAACGUGCCCAGUCGUGGGGGAUAACGCAGCGAAAGUUGUGCUAAUACCGCAUACGAUCUACGGAUGAAAGCGGGGGACUCGCAAGGGCCUCGCGCGAAUGGAGCGGCCGAUAUCAGAUUAGCUAGUUGGUGGGGUAAAGGCUCACCAAGGCGACGAUCUGUAGCUGGUCUGAGAGGACGACCAGCCACACUGGAACUGAGACACGGUCCAGACUCCUACGGGAGGCAGCAGUGGGGAAUUUUGGACAAUGGGCGCAAGCCUGAUCCAGCAAUGCCGCGUGCAGGAUGAAGGCCUUCGGGUUGUAAACUGCUUUUGUACGGAGCGAAACGGUCUUCUCUAAUAAAGGGGGCUAAUGACGGUACCGUAAGAAUAAGCACCGGCUAACUACGU
Molecule: ribosomal RNA, 482 nt
Filed under: uncultured bacterium
Lineage: Bacteria
Description: bacterial SSU rRNA
Rfam family: Bacterial small subunit ribosomal RNA
Source: RNAcentral